RNAcentral lists this non-coding RNA (194 nucleotides) under Lysinibacillus halotolerans. RNAcentral describes it as "6S / SsrS RNA". It matches the Rfam family "6S / SsrS RNA". Rfam says of the family: E. coli 6S RNA was the first non coding RNA to be sequenced, but its function was unknown until recently. Lineage: Bacteria; Bacillati; Bacillota; Bacilli; Caryophanales; Bacillaceae. The record is from Rfam by way of RNAcentral.
AGAAUCCUAAUUUACUUGUAAUUGCUUUUCAACUCUUUUGACCGAACAAUCAAUCGUCGGGAACCCAUAUUUUAUCUUGGCAAACAAGCCCUGCAACUGGCCGAGGGAAGUUUAAAGGGAUGAAGAGGGUACCCACCUGCAUGGGAAGCGGGUUCAAAACGAUGUUACUUGCUUACGGUAUGUUUAGGAUUCUA